Molecule: ribosomal RNA, 380 nt
Filed under: uncultured bacterium
Lineage: Bacteria
Description: bacterial SSU rRNA
Rfam family: Bacterial small subunit ribosomal RNA
Source: RNAcentral
GCAGUGGGGAAUAUUGGACAAUGGGCGCAAGCCUGAUCCAGCCAUGCCGCGUGAGUGAUGAAGGCCCUAGGGUUGUAAAGCUCUUUUGUGCGGGAAGAUAAUGACGGUACCGCAAGAAUAAGCCCCGGCUAACUUCGUGCCAGCAGCCGCGGUAAUACGAAGGGGGCUAGCGUUGCUCGGAAUCACUGGGCGUAAAGGGUGCGUAGGCGGGUCUUUAAGUCAGAGGUGAAAUCCUGGAGCUCAACUCCAGAACUGCCUUUGAUACUGAGGAUCUUGAGUUCGGGAGAGGUGAGUGGAACUGCGAGUGUAGAGGUGAAAUUCGUAGAUAUUCGCAAGAACACCAGUGGCGAAGGCGGCUCACUGGCCCGAUACUGACGCUG